AUGAUCCUUCCGCAGGCCCACAUACGGAAUACGAGUGAGGGCCCUCUGGGUCCACCUCCCACCCGUGUUUAUUUUACCUUGUUGCUUCGGCGGGCCCGCCUUAACUGGCCGCCGGGGGCUUACGCCCCCGGGCCCCGCCCCCAAAACCCCCCCAACUCUGUCUGAAGAUAGUAGUCUGAGUGAAAAUAUAAAUUAUUUAAAACUUUCAACAACGGAUCUCUUGGUUCCGGCAUCGAUGAAGAACGCAGCGAAAUGCGAUACGUAAUGUGAAUUGCAAAUUCAGUGAAUCAUCGAGUCUUUGAACGCACAUUGCGCCCCCUGGUAUUCCGGGGGGCAUGCCUGUCCGAGCGUCAUUUCUGCCCUCAAGCACGGCUUGUGUGUUGGGCCCCGUCCUCCGAUCCCGGGGGACGGGCCCGAAAGGCAGCGGCGGCACCGCGUCCGGUCCUCGAGCGUAUGGGGCUUUGUCACCCGCUCUGUAGGCCCGGCCGGCGCUUGCCGAUCAACCCAAAUUUUUAUCCAGGUUGACCUCGGAUCAGGUAGGGAUACCCGCUGAACUUAAGCAUAUCAAUAAGCCGGGGGAA
This 581-nucleotide ribosomal RNA is filed under the name Penicillium sp. SGE40. RNAcentral describes it as "eukaryotic LSU rRNA". The stretch from base 201 to 353 matches the Rfam family "5.8S ribosomal RNA". The record is from RNAcentral. Lineage: Eukaryota; Fungi; Ascomycota; Eurotiomycetes; Eurotiales; Aspergillaceae.